UACAGAGGUUUCAAGCGUUGUUCGGAUUCAUUGGGCGUAAAGGGUGUGUAGGCGGCGCGUUAAGUCGGGCGUGAAAUCUCGGAGCUUAACUCCGAAACUGCAUUCGAUACUGCCGUGCUUGAGGACUGGAGAGGAGACUGGAAUUUACGGUGUAGCGGUGAAAUGCGUAGAUAUCGGAAGGAAGACCAGUGGCGAAGGCGGGUCUCUGGACAGUUCCUGACGCUGAGGCACGAAGGCCAGGGGAGCAAACGGG
Molecule: ribosomal RNA, 253 nt
Filed under: uncultured bacterium
Lineage: Bacteria
Description: partial 16S ribosomal RNA
Rfam family: Bacterial small subunit ribosomal RNA
Source: RNAcentral